This 1488-nucleotide long non-coding RNA is filed under the name Scophthalmus maximus (turbot). Its description in RNAcentral is "lncRNA (ENSSMAG00000026614.1)". Lineage: Eukaryota; Metazoa; Chordata; Actinopteri; Pleuronectiformes; Scophthalmidae. The record is from RNAcentral.
AUGAUCCUCUCUCACCUGCUGAUUGACAAGGUCUUGAGGCAAAAAUUUAGGAGGAGGAUUUUUUUUGAGAGAGGAGGAGGAGGAGGAGGAGGAGAGAGGGAGGAGGAGGAGGAGGAGGAGGAGGAGGGAGGGAGGGAGGGAGGGAGGGAGGGAGGGAGGAGGAGGAGGAGGAGGGAGGGAGGGAGGGAGGGAGGAGGAGGAGGGAGGGAGGAGGGAGGAGGAGGAGGAGGAGGAGGAGGAGGAGGAGGAGGAGGGAGGAGGGAGGAGGAGGAGGAGGAGGAGGAGGGAGGAGGAGGAGGAGGAGGGAGGAGAGGGAGGGAGGGAGGAGGAGGAGGAGGAGGAGGGAGGAGGAGGAGGGAGGAGGAGGAGGGAGGAGGAGGAGGGAGGGAGGAGGAGGAGGGAAGAGGAGGGAGGAGGAGGAGGAGGAGGAGGAGGAGGAGGAGGAGGAGGAGGGAGGGAGGGAGGGAGGAGGAGGAGGAGGAGGAGGAGGAGGAGGAGGAGGGAGGAGGAGGGAGGGAGGAGGGAGGGAGAGGAGGAGGAGGAGGAGGAGGAGGAGGAGGAGGGAGGGAGGAGGGAGGAGGAGGAGGAGGAGGAGGAGGAGGAGGAGGAGGAGGAGGAGGAGGAGGAGGAGGAGGAGGAGGAGGAGGAGGAGGAGGAGGAGGGAGGGAGGAGGAGGAGGAGGGAGGGAGGAGGAGGGAGGGAGGGAGGAGGAGGAGGGAGGGAGGAGGAGGAGGAGGAGGAGGAGGAGGAGGAGGAGGAGGAGGAGGAGGAGGAGGGAGGAGGAGGGAGGGAGGGAGGGAGGAGGGAAGGGAGGGAGGAGGAGGAGGGAGGAGGGAGGAGGAGGAGGAGGAGGGAGGGAGGGAGGGAGGGAGGGAGGAGGGAGGAGGAGGAGGAGGAGGAGGAGAGGAGGAGGGAGGAGGAGGAGGAGGAGGAAGGAGGAGGAGGAGGAGGAGGAGGAGGAGAGGAGGAGGAGGAGGAGGAGGGAGGGAGGAGGAGGGAGGGAGGAGAGGGAGGAGGGAGGAGGAGGAGGAGGAGGGAGGGAGGGAGGGAGGAGGAGGAGGAGGAGGAGGAGGAGGAGGAGGAGGGGAGAGGGGAGGAGGAGGAGGAGGAGGAGGAGGAGGAGGAGGAGGAGGAGGGAGAGGAGGAGGAGGAGGAGGAGGAGGAGGGAGGAGGGAGGGAGAGGGAGGAGGAGGGAGGAGGGAAGAGAGAGGGAGGAGGAGGAGGAGGGAGGGAGGAGGAGGAGGAGGAGGAGGAGGAGGGAGGAGGAGGAGGGAGGGAGGAGGAGGAGGAGGAGGAGGGAGGAGGAGGGAGGAGGGAGAGGGAGGGAGGGGAGGAGGAGGAGGGAGGGAGGGAGGGAGGGAGGGAGGAGGAGGAGGAGGAGGAGGAGGGAGGGAGGGAGGGAGGGAAGGAGGAGGAGGGAGGGAGAGGGAGAGAAGGGAGGAGGGAGGGAGGAGGAGGACUCCUCUCUCUUCCCUGGUUGACAAGUGA